UCAAACUUGGUCAUUUAGAGGAAGUAAAAGUCGUAACAAGGUUUCCGUAGGUGAACCUGCGGAAGGAUCAUUAUUGAAUAAACUCGACUUGUUGAUGCUGGUCUCUUCAGAGGCAUGUGCUCGCUUGUCAUCUUUAUAUCUCCACCUGUGCACUUUCUGUAGAACUGUGAAAAGCAAACUUGUUAUCCGAGGCAACUCGAGAUGUUUUAGGACUGCUGUGCGUAAAAGCCAGCUUUCCUUGUUGCGUUUCUACAGUGCUACGUUUUUUCAUAUACACCAUGAAAUGUAACAGAAUGUAUCACUAGGUCUUUGAACCUAUAAACGAAAUAUACAACUUUCAGCAACGGAUCUCUUGGCUCUCGCAUCGAUGAAGAACGCAGC
This 381-nucleotide unclassified non-coding RNA is filed under the name uncultured fungus. RNAcentral describes it as "partial contains small subunit ribosomal RNA, internal transcribed spacer 1, and 5.8S ribosomal RNA". The stretch from base 1 to 73 matches the Rfam family "Eukaryotic small subunit ribosomal RNA", at positions 1759 to 1831 of the family's 1831-position model. The record is from RNAcentral. Lineage: Eukaryota; Fungi.